RNAcentral lists this unclassified non-coding RNA (334 nucleotides) under soil metagenome. Its description in RNAcentral is "partial contains 5.8S ribosomal RNA, internal transcribed spacer 2, and large subunit ribosomal RNA". The stretch from base 1 to 120 matches the Rfam family "5.8S ribosomal RNA", at positions 35 to 154 of the family's 154-position model. The record is from RNAcentral.
GAUGAAGAACGUAGCGAAAUGCGAUAAGUAGUGUGAAUUGCAGAAUUCAGUGAAUCAUCGAAUCUUUGAACGCACAUUGCGCCCCUUGGUAUUCCAUGGGGCAUGCCUGUUCGAGCGUCAUUUGUACCUUCAAGCUUUGCUUGGUGUUGGGUGUUUGUCCAUUCUCUUGCAGAGGGACUCGCCUUAAAGUAAUUGGCAGCCAGUGUUUUGGUUUUGAAGCGCAGCACAAGUCGCGAUUCAAAGCUAUACGCCCGCUUCCACAAGCCUUUUUCACUUUUGACCUCGGAUCAGGUAGGGAUACCCGCUGAACUUAAGCAUAUCAAUAAGCGAAGGA